GCUAGAAGGUCAACAAACAAAAACCUAUAGAUUUGGGUUGUAAACUUGUAACUUGUAUUGUUGGUAAGGUUACUGUAUAUAGGCAUUUGCUAACUGAUACAUAUGUGAAACAUUUCCAGAUAUAUAAGAUGCCAAAAGAUAGAAAUAUAGUGCAUCCGUUUACUAAGAUUUCAGCUUCCAACAGAAGCUUAAUGAAUGAUCAACACAUUUCAUUUAGUGGCCUUCUAUAGAAACAUCCUACUGUCCUAACAAGAUGUGCUAUAGUUUGUUCAUUAGUUACUGCCAGUUUUGGACCUUCGGGAAAAAAAUAUUGAACCGGGGAUAAAAAGGGGAACUUUCAUUGCUGAAUUAUUGAUUGAAUACUUUGCUUCCAUUGGCUGUUGAUGAACCUUGCAUAUUGUUCCUUCCAAAAGCAUAUUUUUGGGAUUAGAUAGAUAAAACAUAUUCCUGUUUUGUUUGCGUUUUACUACAAGUGCAACAAGUUCUAGUAUUGCCAGGUUCAACGAGUUCUCUUUUUGGUUGAAUAUUGUGUGUAUCCUUUUUCAGCUCACUGUUUAAUUUCAUUUCUAGGUCCAUUAUAGUAUCUUCCUACAUAGCUGUAUAUCAUGAAGCAGAAUCUCGAGGAAUCUGAAACUUUAUAUACUUGUGUGCUAUUCUAAAUACAUGUUUUAUCUGGUGCAGGCACUUGAUAAAUCGCAGCUUGGAGCCCUUCUUCGUCAAAGAGGCGAAAAGCUUGAUUCACCAGGUCUGUAAUCAUAUACGUUGAGAGUAUCUAUGAUCUGUUAUUCAUAAUUAGCCUUUUUUACACCAAAUUUUAUUUUGCUUUACAUGAAGUGCUUGAAAAUGGGGAAAAUUGGAGUGUGGGACAACGAAAACUUGUUUCAUUGGGUCGUGCUUUGCUUAAGCAGGCAAGAAUACUUGUUCUUGAUGAAGCCACUGCUUCUGUUGAUACAGCGACAGAUAAUCUUAUCCAGACUCUAAUAAGGGCAGAGUUCAGGGACUGCACAGUUGUGAUGAUAACACACAGAAUACCAACAGUUAUGGAUAGUGAUUUUGUGUUGGUCCUCAGUGACGGCUUACACUCCAAGAAAUGCGCCUUAUACCGAUGAGGAAAUAGAUGUGGUUCGUGAGCAAUGGGCUAAGUUUUUUACAACCGAGUAUUUAUUUACUUAGGUUGUUUAGACACAAAGAUGGAAGCGUUUAUAUCUUCAUGGAUUUGCUUGUUUUGAGUACUGGAAGCGGUGUUAAUGGUUUCACUCUAGAUCCAUCUCCUUGGAGAGUAUAUUUUAACUCAUCCAGACAUCAAGGGAUCGAGUCGAUUGGAAGAAAUUCAACACUGCCUUAAUUAAGGUUUAUAAUGCAUGAUCUAAAGGGAGCUAAGUGGCCGGAUUAGAGAAAUUUGUUAGACUAGCUCUCUAGCCUUUUGUCUUUAUUUGUUAAUAUUAGUUGUAAUUUGUUAGACUAGCUAGGUGUUUAAAAUUGCAAACGUACGUACUAUACGCUUGGGUUACUAUAAAUGAAGUUAAUGUAAUGAUUUAUUUAUUAAAAAUAAGCAGAUUCAUACCUUUGCUA
Molecule: long non-coding RNA, 1572 nt
Organism: Spinacia oleracea (spinach)
Lineage: Eukaryota; Viridiplantae; Streptophyta; Magnoliopsida; Caryophyllales; Amaranthaceae
Exons: 4
Source: RefSeq, a predicted model, not a curated record